UUUUCAAGCUUAUAAUUCAGUGGUAGAACACUUGCCUAGCAUUCUAAAGGUCCUGGGUUUGAUCCCCAGCAUUGGAAAA
RNAcentral lists this transfer RNA (79 nucleotides) under Marmota monax (woodchuck). Its description in RNAcentral is "tRNA.Ala". Lineage: Eukaryota; Metazoa; Chordata; Mammalia; Rodentia; Sciuridae. The record is from RNAcentral.